This 468-nucleotide ribosomal RNA is filed under the name uncultured bacterium. RNAcentral's name for it is "partial 16S ribosomal RNA". It matches the Rfam family "Bacterial small subunit ribosomal RNA", at positions 28 to 507 of the family's 1533-position model. The record is from RNAcentral.
GACGAACGCUGGCGGCGUGCUUAACACAUGCAAGUCGAACGGAAAGGCCUGCAGCUUGCUGCGGGUACUCGAGUGGCGAACGGGUGAGUAACACGUGGGUGAUCUGCCUUGCACUUCGGGAUAAGCUUGGGAAACUGGGUCUAAUACCGGAUAGGACAGCUGUUUAGUGUCAGUUGUGGAAAGUUGUUUCGGUGCAAGAUGAGCUCGCGGCCCAUCAGCUUGUUGGUGGGGUAAUGGCCUACCAAGGCGUCGACGGGUAGCCGGCCUGAGAGGGUGUACGGCCACAUUGGGACUGAGAUACGGCCCAGACUCCUACGGGAGGCAGCAGUGGGGAAUAUUGCACAAUGGGCGGAAGCCUGAUGCAGCGACGCCGCGUGGGGGAUGAAGGCCUUCGGGUUGUAAACUCCUUUCGACAGGGACGAAGCUUUUGUGACGGUACCUGUAUAAGAAGCACCGGCUAACUACGUG